AGGAUGAACGCUGGCGGCGUGCUUAACACAUGCAAGUCGAACGGUGAAGUGAGGAGCUUGCUCCUUGCGGAUCAGUGGCGAACGGGUGAGUAACACGUGAGUAACCUGCCCUUGACUCUGGGAUAAGCACUGGAAACGGUGUCUAAUACCGGAUACGACCUCCGAAGGCAUCUUCUGGAAGUGGAAAGAAUUUCGGUCAAGGAUGGACUCGCGGCCUAUCAGCUAGUUGGUGAGGUAACGGCCCACCAAGGCGACGACGGGUAGCCGGCCUGAGAGGGUGACCGGCCACACUGGGACUGAGACACGGCCCAGACUCCUACGGAGGCAGCAGUGGGGAAUAUUGCACAAUGGGCGCAAGCCUGAUGCAGCAACGCCGCGUGAGGGAUGACGGUCUUCGGAUUGUAAACCUCUUUCAGUAGGGACGAAUGUAGACGGUACCUGCAGAAGAAGCACCGGCCAACUACGUGCCAGCAGCCGCGGUAA
Molecule: ribosomal RNA, 483 nt
Filed under: uncultured bacterium
Lineage: Bacteria
Description: SSU rRNA
Rfam family: Bacterial small subunit ribosomal RNA
Source: RNAcentral